This 490-nucleotide ribosomal RNA is filed under the name uncultured bacterium. Its description in RNAcentral is "partial 16S ribosomal RNA". The stretch from base 62 to 490 matches the Rfam family "Bacterial small subunit ribosomal RNA", at positions 37 to 507 of the family's 1533-position model. The record is from RNAcentral.
GGGGGGGGGGGGGGGGGGGGGGGGGGGGGGGGAGUGGGGGGGGGGCGGGGAGGGGCGUGGGUGGUGGCUGGCGGGUGGCGGGCGGGGGGGUAGUGGCUGGGGGGGUGGCGGGGGGGGGGGGGUCGCUGCUGGGAACGGGAGCUACUACCGCCUGACGUCGCCAGGCCCAGGGGGGGGGCCUUCGGGCCGCUUGCCCUCGGCUGUGCACGGUGGGGAUUAGCUAGUAGGUGUGGUACCGGCUCCGCGAGGCGACGAUCCCUAGCGGGUCUGCGAGGCUGACCAGCCACACUGGAACUGAGACACGGUCCAGACGCCUACGGGAGGCAGCAGUGGGGAAUAUUGCACAAUGGGCGCAAGCCUGAUGCAGCCAUGCCGCGUGUAUGAAGAAGGCCUUCGGGUUGUAAAGUACUUUCAGCGGGGAGGAAGGGAGUAAAGUUAAUACCUUUGCUCAUUGACGUUACCCGCAGAAGAAGCACCGGCUAACUCCGUG